RNAcentral lists this ribosomal RNA (460 nucleotides) under uncultured bacterium. Its description in RNAcentral is "partial 16S ribosomal RNA". It matches the Rfam family "Bacterial small subunit ribosomal RNA", at positions 338 to 795 of the family's 1533-position model. The record is from RNAcentral.
CCUACGGGUGGCAGCAGUGAGGAAUAUUGGUCAAUGGACGCAAGUCUGAACCAGCCAUGCCGCGUGCAGGAAGACGGCUCUAUGAGUUGUAAAUUGCUUUUGUACCAGGGUAAAUCUCGAUACGUGUAUCGGGUGUAAAGUAUCGUACGAAUAAGGAUAGGCUAACCCCGUGCCAGCAGCCGCGGCAAUACGGAGGAUUCAAGCGUUAUCCGGAUUUAGUGGGUUUAAAGGGUGCGUAGGCGGUUCGGUAAGUUAGAGGUGAAAUCCCGGGGCUCAACUCCGGCACUGCCUCUGAUACUGUCGGGCUAGAGUUUAGUUGCGAUAGGCGGAAUGUAUGGUGUAGCGGUGAAAUGCGUAGAGAUGAUACAGAACACCGAUUGCGAAGGCAGCUUACCGAACUACGACUGACGUUGAGGCACGAAAGCGUGGGGAGCAAACAGGAUUAGAUACCCGUGUAGUC